Molecule: RNA transcript, 2473 nt
Organism: Daphnia pulicaria
Lineage: Eukaryota; Metazoa; Arthropoda; Branchiopoda; Diplostraca; Daphniidae
Exons: 3
Source: RefSeq, a predicted model, not a curated record
AAACAGCGACUGCAUUCAUGGAAAAAACCUACUGUCAGCCAGGUCGUUCUCAGGAGCAAGUGGAGUCAGCCCGUGCUCAAUUUGACCACUGCGAUUGGAAGCAGACGACCGAUGACGACAUCAGACUACUUUCAGCUCCCCCCAGUCUUAGCGAAAUCAUGCUUAAACUAGGUAAAGCUGCUAACACUGCUCCAUGAAGGGAUGGUCUUGAAUAUCGCCACCUCCGGUCUGUUGACGGUAAUGGCGAGCUCCUAGCAACCAUUUACCGGGCGGUGUGGUCUCUGGGUAUCCCAGCCUGCUGGAAAACAUCUCGAACCGUCCCUAUCUUCAAGAAAGGAGAUCCCUCUGAUUAUGGGAACUUCAGGCCAAUAUUCUUACUACCAACCAUGUACAAGAUAUUUUCGGGUAUAAUAUCGUCAAUAAUGGCCACCGCCACGAGACUAGGAUGGAUUUCUCCAGAACAAAAGGGAUUCCUUCCAGGAGUUAGGGGUAUCCAAGAGCACACCCAUAUACUCCACACUGUGAUCGAGCAGGCGAAACAGUCGAAAAGGGAGCUGGUGAUUGCUUGGCUCGAUCUCACUAACGCAUUCGAAUCAAUAUCUCAUCCGACAACAUCAUGGACUUUGCCGCCGGACAAGACUCAGUCCAAAUUCGUCCAACAGCCGGAGUCCGACAAGGAGAUCCAUUAAGCAGCGUUGUCUUCAAUCUGGCAGCAGAACCGAUCAUUAGAACAGUAAAAUCAAACAACAACGGGUUCGCAGUCUACCAGUCAAGAGUGUCCACCACUACCUACGCAGACAACAUUGCCAUCGCAGGAUCUUCAGUCCGCAAAAUCCAGGGAACUCUCAAUGCCACCGAGAACACGGCAACCUCACUCGGCUUGAAAUUAAAUCCCAGCAAAUGCACGUCACUCACACUCAUUAAUGGCAAAUCUUCUGUAGAUAACCCUCUGAGACUUGGAGACUCCCAAAUAUGGGCCCUAGCCGAGGACAAACAGGAAAGCUAUCUAGGGACUCCACUAGGCUCACGACUAACCUUCCAACCCACCACAUCACUUCUCGGAAACUUGAUUAAGAUUGGCAACUCCGGCUUGGCUCCUUGGCAAAAGCUGGAGGUGUACAGAAGUGUACUGCUCCCAUGACUCUCCCACCACCUUGCAUCGGGAAGGGUCGAGAAUUGGUCCCUCUACGACCUGAACGUCGCCUACCGCCGCGUGGGAGGACUUGGAGUUCUCCCUCUCACAGACGAGGCUGAAAAUUGGACCCUGGCCCGAGCACUGCAACUCCUAGAUAGCAAAGACAAGAACGUCAGCGAAGUGGCAAUGGCACAACUAGAAGAAACCAUCAAAUUGGGAUACGGCAGGAACGAAGUUCCAUUUCCAUUUCCCAUUAACGAGUACUUGGCAGGUUCCAUGGAAAAGGGACUUGGAGCAAUCCGACAUGGAGGAGCAUCGAUGAACCUUUGGACCCGCGCAAGGAAGGCCUCGGGCUAUUUGAAGAGGAUAAGGAUUGAUGUAUCCGGCGAAGAGUACAACAAAGUUAUCGCCGAUGACAUCUCCACAAUCUCCAUCAAGACAGUCAGAGGACUCCGGACCGCGAUGAGGCAAAGGUGGACCAACAGACUCCUGUCAGCUCAACAAGGAAAGACGGCAACUGGAUUAGCUCUUGACAUGGCUAAGGAGAACGCAGGUCUCUUAUCAUGCCGAACGCCACUGUCCUUCCAGAAAUGGCACUUUCUCCACAAGCCGAGACUAGGGAUACUUCCAGUCCGAGGUGGCCCAGGAUCAAAGUCGACAGUCAAACCUGUCGACUAGGUUGUACAAAGCUGGAAACCACAGCCCAUGUUGUUUGUGGGUGCUAGGUAAACUCCACUCUUUCUAUUAAUCGUCAUAAUUCUAUCUUAGGACUGAUGGCGGAAGAAACGGAGAAACUUGGCCACACCGUCUCCGUCAACCUCUCCGUGGACAACUCCGGACUCAGACCAGACCUGGUGGUCACUUCCACCAACCCUUCCAUCAUCAUCGACGUCACGGUUUCACUCAGCAGCGCGGAUGGACUCGAGAAGGGACAGGCAAGGAAAAUUGAAAAGUACAAACACCUUGGUGUGGUACUCCCUCUCGUGGUUGGUUCGCUAGGGUCCUGGCUUCCAAGCAACGAUGAGAUAUGUCUUGCCCUGGGAUUCUCGGGUAGAAAAUGGCUGAACCUCAAGAAGAAGAUAAAACUACUGGCCAUCCAAGGAACAACCCAAAUCAUAGCCAAACCCCUGGCAUACCAGACCGAAGCAAGCGAUCCCGAACCCGAAGAAGAAGAAGAAUAAAAGGGCGCAAGUCCUCCCUCUUCCUCAAACUAAGGGUUUUUUAACGUAGCGUUGACACGUCGUCUCGCGUACUUUUUCCCUUAAAACUCAAUUAAUAUAAAUCAUUGUAUAUAUGUUUAUUCUCAGUCCUUUAGAAAAUACAAUGCAAAAAAUCUGU